RNAcentral lists this unclassified non-coding RNA (430 nucleotides) under Heliconia badilloi. RNAcentral's name for it is "partial external transcribed spacer". Lineage: Eukaryota; Viridiplantae; Streptophyta; Magnoliopsida; Zingiberales; Heliconiaceae. The record is from RNAcentral.
GGGCUCCCUGCCACUGUGCAGCCAACCGCCGUCGCUGCAGCCCCUUCACUCGGUGCUCCAACCUCUCGGAGCCUCACGCGUUGCCUGUACAACAUACCCGGUUCUCGGGCAAAUGACUUCGUCCAACACGCUCGUCCGCUCCCCUCGCCUUUGUGCGGGCGCGGAGCGGCAACAUCGGCGGUCCUCGUGCUCCCUCGGACGACGGCACGGCUUUGGCCCCUCGUCUCGUCCCGAUCGGCCCUCGGGGAUUCGCCAGCGCUCGCGGACACGGUAGACAAUGUUGGCUCGGGGCUUUCGUAGCCCCCGCACCACGAUCGGUCGGCUCACUUCGCCGCCCUCAACGAGACGACCGUCGGGCCCGUCGUCCCCCCACCACUCGCCUAACGGCGUCGGGCGGGCACAGCGGGCGCGACGUCGCGGAGGACGUGCU